UCUUUACAAUAAAUAAAUUUCAUAUUUUAAUUUAUAAGUAUAUAAGAUAUUAAAUUUAAUAGUUGUUUCGCUGGGGCGGCGUAGAUAUAUAAAUAAACUGUCUAUAUGUUAAAUUCAAUAAUUGUUGAUUAAUUAUAUUGAUCCUUAAAUAGAUUAAAAGAUUAAGAU
RNAcentral lists this ribosomal RNA (168 nucleotides) under Pagurus maculosus. Its description in RNAcentral is "partial 16S ribosomal RNA". The record is from RNAcentral. Lineage: Eukaryota; Metazoa; Arthropoda; Malacostraca; Decapoda; Paguridae.